AUACGUAGGUGGCGAGCGUUAUCCGGAAUUACUGGGUGUAAAGGGUGUGUAGGCGGGAAGGCAAGUCGGAUGUGAAAAUUAUGGGCUCAACCCAUAAAGUGCGACCGAAACUGUUUUUCUUGAGGAUCGGAGAGGUAAUGAAAAUUCCCGGUGUAGCGGUGAAAUGCGCAGAGAUCGGGAGGAAUACCGGUGGCGAAGGCGAAUUACUGGACGAUAACUGACGCUGAGACACGAAAGCGUGGGGAGCAAACAGGAUUAGAUACCCUGGUAGUCCACACUGUAAACGAUGAAUGCUAGGUGUAAGAGGUAUCGACCCCUUUUGUGCCGGAGUCAACACAAUAAGCAUUCCGCCUGGGGAGUACGGCCGCAAGGUUGAAACUUAAAGGAAUUGACGGGG
RNAcentral lists this ribosomal RNA (397 nucleotides) under uncultured bacterium. RNAcentral's name for it is "partial 16S ribosomal RNA". It matches the Rfam family "Bacterial small subunit ribosomal RNA", at positions 523 to 918 of the family's 1533-position model. The record is from RNAcentral.